This 118-nucleotide ribosomal RNA is filed under the name Amphiprion ocellaris (clown anemonefish). Lineage: Eukaryota; Metazoa; Chordata; Actinopteri; Pomacentridae. The record is from RNAcentral.
GCUUACGGCCAUACCAGCCUGAAUGCGCCCGAUCUCGUCUGAUCUCGGAAGCUAGGCAGGGUCGGGCCUGGUCAGUACUUGGAUGGGGGCAAUACCGAGAUACCAGGUGCUGUAAGCU